Molecule: unclassified non-coding RNA, 387 nt
Filed under: soil metagenome
Description: partial contains 5.8S ribosomal RNA, internal transcribed spacer 2, and large subunit ribosomal RNA
Rfam family: 5.8S ribosomal RNA (bases 1-120)
Source: RNAcentral
GAUGAAGAACGUAGCGAAAUGCGAUAAGUAAUGUGAAUUGCAGAAUUCAGUGAAUCAUCGAAUCUUUGAACGCACCUUGCACCCUUUUGUAUUCCGAAGGGUAUGCUCGUUUGAGUGUCAUUGUACUCUCACACUUCUAAUUCCUUUCGGGAUUGGGAGCGGUGGACUUGGGUGUUGCUGCUUUAGUUGUGGCUCACCUCAAAUAAGUUAGUGCAACUCUUGGUUGGACAUAGUACGGCGUGAUAAGUGUCUUCGCCGGCGCCUCUGUAAGGAGGGUGGCCGAUCGGGAGCUCUGUGCUUCAAACCGUCUUCGGACAAUCUUUGACAACUUGACCUCAAAUCGAGUAGGACUACCCGCUGAACUUAAGCAUAUCAAUAAGCGGAGGA